Elaeis guineensis (African oil palm) is the source of this 683-nucleotide non-coding RNA. The record is from RefSeq and is a predicted model, not a curated record. NCBI's taxonomy places the organism in Eukaryota, Viridiplantae, Streptophyta, Magnoliopsida, Arecales, Arecaceae.
CCCCACUUCGACUUUUCCCAAGGCUACACGGCUGUCGCUCAUAUCCUCUCUUCGAAACCGGAAGGAUUUUGUAAAAAAUAUUAAAAAACCGAAAGAAUUUUCGGCGUUGCCACGCAGGUCAACCAUCACAUAUGGAAUCCUCAAUUUGGCCGGCUGAUUUAAAUUGAUUAGGGAGGUAUUGAAAAAAUAAGGUCAACCAUCACAUAUGGAAUCCUCAAAUUUGCUGGCCGAUUUAAAUUGGUUUGGAAGGUAUUGGAAAAAUAAGAUGUAUACAGUGGACAUGACAUAUAGACUGCUAGGGUGUCAUUUAUUUUGAUAUGGAGUGACAUCUUUUCGAUCAUGUCAUGCGGUAGUUUAGUCAGAUUCAAGACAUCUCAAAGCAGUUUGAUAUCAGUCAGAGACUUCAUCGUAUUGAUCGACGAGGGAGAGUUCGUAUUGAUUAGCAUAUCAGAUAUGCAGAAUACAUCGUCAUUUGAAAUGUAUGUCGAGAUCUCAUAGUUCAUGGUGAUUCUAUUUUGAAAGGUCGUUCAUAUACCAAGGACUACAUGUUUUGAUUUUUUAGCAUUACAGUGUGAGUUAUUGGACAACAUCGGUAUGCAGUUUCAGGAUACGAUGGUGAGAGUUCUGUUAUAUCAUAAAAAUUAUAUUUUAUAUUAAUAUAUUUAUUUUUAAUAAUUAAGAUU